GAACGCUCCUGGGUUUCGGCCUGGGGGAGUGGCGCACGGGUGAGUAGCGCGUGGGAACCUGCCCUCUUGUGGGGGAUAACCGAGGGAAACCUCGGCUAAUACCGCAUAAGCCGGAGAAAUUCGGGAAAGAUUUAUCGCGAGAGGAGGGGCCCGCGUCGGAUUAGCUGGUUGGUGGGGUAACGGCCUACCAAGGCGAUGAUCCGUAGCUGGUCUGAGAGGAUGAUCAGCCACACUGGGACUGAGACACGGCCCAGACUCCUACGGGAGGCAGCAGUGGGGAAUAUUGGACAAUGGGCGCAAGCCUGAUCCAGCAAUGCCGCGUGAGUGAGGAAGGCCUUAGGGUUGUAAAGCUCUUUCACCCGCGACGAUGAUGACGGUAGCGGGAGAAGAAGCCCCGGCUAACUUCGUGCCAGCAGCCGCGGUAAU
This 426-nucleotide ribosomal RNA is filed under the name uncultured bacterium. RNAcentral describes it as "bacterial SSU rRNA". It matches the Rfam family "Bacterial small subunit ribosomal RNA", at positions 64 to 524 of the family's 1533-position model. The record is from RNAcentral.